RNAcentral lists this transfer RNA (72 nucleotides) under Prunus dulcis (almond). RNAcentral describes it as "tRNA-Gln". It matches the Rfam family "tRNA". Rfam says of the family: Transfer RNA (tRNA) molecules are approximately 80 nucleotides in length. Their secondary structure includes four short double-helical elements and three loops (D, anti-codon, and T loops). The record is from RNAcentral. Lineage: Eukaryota; Viridiplantae; Streptophyta; Magnoliopsida; Rosales; Rosaceae. RNAcentral also lists the same sequence under 25 other names.
UGGAGUAUAGCCAAGUGGUAAGGCAUCGGUUUUUGGUACCGGCACGCAAAGGUUCGAAUCCUUUUACUCCAG